GACGAACGCUGGCGGCGUGCUUAACACAUGCAAGUCGAGCGGAAAGGCCACUUCGGUGGUACUCGAGCGGCGAACGGGUGAGUAACACGUGAGUAAUCUGCCCUCCACUUUGGGAUAACCUCCGGAAACGGUGGCUAAUACCGGAUACGACACAGGUUCGCAUGAGCUCUGUGUGGAAAGUUUUUUCGGUGGGGGAUGUGCUCGCGGCCUAUCAGCUUGUUGGUGGGGUAAUGGCCUACCAAGGCUUCGACGGGUAGCCGGCCUGAGAGGGUGACCGGCCACACUGGGACUGAGACACGGCCCAGACUCCUACGGGUGGCUG
Molecule: ribosomal RNA, 322 nt
Filed under: uncultured Actinomycetes bacterium
Lineage: Bacteria; Bacillati; Actinomycetota; Actinomycetes
Description: bacterial SSU rRNA
Rfam family: Bacterial small subunit ribosomal RNA
Source: RNAcentral